CUACGGGCGGCUGCAGUGGGGAAUAUUGCACAAUGGGCGCAAGCCUGAUGCAGCCAUGCCGCGUGUAUGAAGAAGGCCUUCGGGUUGUAAAGUACUUUCAGCGGGGAGGAAGGGAGUAAAGUUAAUACCUUUGCUCAUUGACGUUACCCGCAGAAGAAGCACCGGCUAGACUCCGUGCCAGCAGCCGCGGUAAUACGGAGGGUGCAAGCGUUAAUCGGAAUUACUGGGCGUAAAGCGCACGCAGGCGGUUUGUUAAGUCAGAUGUGAAAUCCCCGGGCUCAACCUGGGAACUGCAUCUGAUACUGGCAAGCUUGAGUCUCGUAGAGGGGGGUAGAAUUCCAGGUGUAGCGGUGAGAUGCGUAGAGAUCUGGAGGAAUACCGGUGGCGAAGGCGGCCCCCUGGACGAAGACUGACGCUCAGGUGCGAAAGCGUGGGGAGCAAACAGGAUUAGAUACCCCGGUAGUC
This 465-nucleotide ribosomal RNA is filed under the name uncultured bacterium. Its description in RNAcentral is "partial 16S ribosomal RNA". It matches the Rfam family "Bacterial small subunit ribosomal RNA", at positions 339 to 795 of the family's 1533-position model. The record is from RNAcentral.